RNAcentral lists this long non-coding RNA (356 nucleotides) under Parus major (Great Tit). RNAcentral's name for it is "lncRNA (ENSPMJG00000012928.1)". Lineage: Eukaryota; Metazoa; Chordata; Aves; Passeriformes; Paridae. The record is from RNAcentral.
AAGAUUGUAUGAAGAUGCACCACCCAAGGAAUUUAAGAUAAAACACCAAAUACAGGGCAUAUAUAUAUAUACACAUCCAUUCCAUUUCACAGAGCAGCCACUCUGUCUCCAGGCACAGCUGCAGGACUCUUCAUAAAUAAAUAACCUCGUGUAAGACAGAUUAUGUUCCUCGGAUAUCAAUCACUGGAAAAAGUGAUUAAAAGAGACAGAGGGAUCAAGGUGCUUUAGACUUGUCCAUGUGAAGAAAUGGAUUGUCCAAGGGAGGGAAGCCAUCAUAGUGAAUCACAGGAUCAUGGACUAUCCUGAGCUGGAAGGGACUCAAAAAUCAACUCCUCAUUCCACAUGGGGCAACAUAA